RNAcentral lists this ribosomal RNA (698 nucleotides) under Vibrio sp. Its description in RNAcentral is "bacterial SSU rRNA". It matches the Rfam family "Bacterial small subunit ribosomal RNA", at positions 348 to 1036 of the family's 1533-position model. The record is from RNAcentral. Lineage: Bacteria; Pseudomonadati; Pseudomonadota; Gammaproteobacteria; Vibrionales; Vibrionaceae.
GCAGCAGUGGGGAAUAUUGCAUAAUGGGCGGCAGCCUGAUGCAGCCAUGCCGCGUGUGUGAAGAAGGCCUUCGGGUUGUAAAGCACUUUCAGUCGUGAGGAAGGUGGUGUAGUUAAUAGCUGCAUUAUUUGACGUUAGCGACAGAAGAAGCACCGGCUAACUCCGUGCCAGCAGCCGCGGUAAUACGGAGGGUGCGAGCGUUAAUCGGAAUUACUGGGCGUAAAGCGCAUGCAGGUGGUUAGUUAAGUCAGAUGUGAAAGCCCGGGGCUCAACCUCGGAACUGCAUUUGAAACUGGCUGACUAGAGUACUGUAGAGGGGGGUAGAAUUUCAGGUGUAGCGGUGAAAUGCGUAGAGAUCUGAAGGAAUACCAGUGGCGAAGGCGGCCCCCUGGACAGAUACUGACACUCAGAUGCGAAAGCGUGGGGAGCAAACAGGAUUAGAUACCCUGGUAGUCCACGCCGUAAACGAUGUCUACUUGGAGGUUGUGGCCUUGAGCCGUGGGCUUUCGGAGCUAACGCGUUAAGUAGACCGCCUGGGGGAGUACGGUCGCAAGAUUAAAACUCAAAUGAAUUGACGGGGGCCCGCACAAGCGGUGGAGCAUGUGGUUUAAUUCGAUGCAACGCGAAGAACCUUACCUACUCUUGACAUCCAGAGAACUUAGCAGAGAUGCUUUGGUGCCUUCGGGAACUCUGAGACA